UACGAAGGGGGCUAGCGUUGCUCGGAAUCACUGGGCGUAAAGGGUGCGUAGGCGGGUCUUUAAGUCAGGGGUGAAAUCCUGGAGCUCAACUCCAGAACUGCCUUUGAUACUGAGGAUCUUGAGUACGGGAGAGGUGAGUGGAAUUCCCAGUGUAGAGGUGAAAUUCGUAGAUAUUGGGAAGAACACCGGUGGCGAAGGCGGCUAUCUGGACCGUAACUGACGCUGAGGCGCGAAAGCGUGGGGAGCAAACAGG
Molecule: ribosomal RNA, 253 nt
Filed under: uncultured bacterium
Lineage: Bacteria
Description: partial 16S ribosomal RNA
Rfam family: Bacterial small subunit ribosomal RNA
Source: RNAcentral